RNAcentral lists this ribosomal RNA (254 nucleotides) under uncultured bacterium. Its description in RNAcentral is "partial 16S ribosomal RNA". It matches the Rfam family "Bacterial small subunit ribosomal RNA", at positions 524 to 776 of the family's 1533-position model. The record is from RNAcentral.
UACGAAGGGUGCAAGCGUUACUCGGAAUUACUGGGCGUAAAGCGUGCGUAGGUGGUUUGUUAAGACCGAUGUGAAAUCCCCGGGCUUAACCUGGGAACUGCAUUGGUGACUGGCAGGCUUUGAGUGUGGCAGAGGGAGGUAGAAUUCCACGUGUAGCAGUGAAAUGCGUAGAGAUGUGGAGGAAUACCGAUGGCGAAGGCAGCCUCCUGGGCCAACACUGACGCUCAUGCACGAAAGCGUGGGGAGCAAACAGG